GUAAUUCACAUCCCAGUUCACUGCAUUCAUUUAGAGAGUAUACCAGUAAUUCACAUCCCAGUUCACUGCAUUCAUUUAGAGAGUAUACCAGUAAUUCAGUUCCAUACACAAGGUUAACAGAUACUCUUUCAGCGAUCGGUAUAAACAUCUCUGUCAUUUUCCCUUAAAAUAAACUGGUUCAUUCGUUGGCUGGAGGCCACGGUGGUAAUCAAAUCAACGGGUACAAACCUGGAGAAGGGCUGUUAGAUUUAUUACCCCUAGGUGUGUGUGCUGUUUUUGGGGGGUUUACCAAUAAGUAAAUAAGUAUUUUCUGAACUGCAGUGGUUUAAAGUACUUAAGUAAAACAAAUAAUGAUACUUUAAUGUACUACUCAAGUAUUUUUUUGGGGGGGGGGUAUCUGUACUUUACUAUUUAUAUUUUUUGACAACUUUUAUUUUUACCUCACUACAUUCCAAAAGAAAAUAAUGUACUUUUUAUUCUCAUAUAUUUCCCCCUGACACCCAAAAGUACUCGUUACAUUUAGCAUUCUCAAGCAGGACAGCACUAUGGUCCCAUUCACACACUUAUCAAGAGCAGGUGUUGUCGUCCCUACUGCCUCUAAUCUGGAGGACUCACUAAACAGAGAACAUCCCUGGUCGUCCCUACUGCCUCUAAUCUGGAGGACUCACUAAACAGAGAACAUCCCUGGUCAUCCCUACUGCCUCUGAUCUGGUGGACUCACUAAACAGAGAACAUCCCUGGUCGUCCCUACUGCCUCUAAUCUGGAGGACUCACUAAACAGAGAACAUCCCUGGUCAUCCCUACUGCCUCUGACCUGGAGGACUCACUAAACAGAGAACAUCCCUGGUCAUCCCUACUGCCUCUGAUCUGGAGGACUCACUAAACAGAGAACAUCCCUGGUCAUCCCUACUGCCUCUGAUCUGGAGGACUCACUAAACACACACACAGUGCGUUUGUAAAUCUCUUCUGAGUGUUGGAGCCCCUGGCUAUCCGUAAAUUUAAAAAAAAACUUAAGAGAAAAUCAUACCGUCAGGAGUUUGAUUUAUAUUCUUUGCUUUAUCCCACCAGUUUCAUACUUUUUCCCACCAUUGUACUUAAAGUACAUUUUAAAAACAGAUACUUUGACUCAAGUACUAUUUUACUGGGUGAUUUUCACUUAUACUCAAGUCAUUUUCGAUUAAGGUGUCUUUCGUUUGACUCAAAUAGGACAUUUAAGUAGUUGUUUCUGCUAUAAACACACUUAUGUUUUCUGAUUUAAAAACAACAAUAAACAAAGAAAAUUCAUAUUAAUGUUAUAAUUGUUUUUGUAUAAUUGAUUACAUUGACAUUUUAUCCAUAAAGAUAUGCAAACAAUUUAACUAUUUAAAGGAGAUACUAUUUAAACUGUACAGAUUCAACAUUAUUAUUAUUAUUAUUAUUGUUAUUAUUAUUAUUAUUAUUAUGAUUAUUUGUGAAGACCCCUCUGUUUUGUGUCAGAACAAUCCUCAUGCUGUAGGUCUGUGCUGUGUCGUGAGUCACUGUUUCCAUCUGUAGGUUUUACCCCAUUGACAUCCAAUCAUUUGUUUAUGUGGUGUGUAUAGGUUCAUUGUAUAUAUACAUGCUGAAGGCUCUACGGUCAUCCCAGGCCCUAACCAAGGUAGAGAGGGGGUCUGAACCCAUGCUGAAGGUUUUACGGUCAUCACCAGGCCCUAACCAAGGUAGAGAGGGGGUCUGAACUCAUGCUGAAGGCUGUACAGUCAUCACCAGGCCCUAACCAAGGUCGAGAGGGGGUCUGACCCCAUGCUGAAGGCUUUACGGUCAUCACCAGGCCCUAACCAAGGUAGAGAGGGGUCUGAACCCAUGCUGAAGGCUGUACGGUCAUCACCAGGUCCUAACCAAGGUAGAGAGGGGGUCUGAACCCAUGCUGAAGGCUCUACGGUCAUCACCAGGCCCUAACCAAGGUAGAGAGGGGGUCUGAACCCAUGCUGAAGGCUCUACGGUCAUCACCAGGCCCUAACCAAGGUAGAGAGGGGUCUGAACUCAUGCUGAAGGCUGUGCGGUCAUCACCAGGCCCUAACCAAGGUAGAGAGGGGGUCUGAACCCAUGUUGAAGGCUCUACGGUCAUCACCAGGCCCUAACCAAGGUAGAGAGGGGUCUGAACUCAUGCUGAAGGCUCUACGGUCAUCACCAGGCCCUAACCAAGGUAGAGAGGGGGUCUGAACCCAUGCUGAAGGCUGUACGGUCAUCACCAGGCCCUAACCAAGGUAGAGAGGGGGUCUGAACCCAUGCUGAAGGCUCUACGGUCAUCACCAGGCCCUAACCAAGGUAGAGAGGGGGUCUGAACCCAUGCUGAAGGCUGUACGGUCACCACAACACCAAUACUAGUGUUUUAAUCCACAAUGGGGAGUUGUCACACAUUGUUUAAAUACAUUUUUUUUACAUUAACACCAUAUCAAGGAACUAACAGAUGGCUCGAUCAGGUUGAUUGAUAUACCAGUAGCCUCAUCGUGCCCCCCUCCCUUUGUUUAUUAAAGCUUUGCCAUUUAAACAAUUAUUGAUAUAAACGAGAACAUGAGGUGAAAGGAACGGCUUGAGGGGACAGGAAGAAGUGUUUGUCGUGUUUGUUGCGUCCACUCUUACAUUGUAUUUGUGUUGUCAACAACACUCACUUUCUUCUUUUUCGUUUUGUUGUUGCCAAGUGCCUUUGGCUACAAUCCAUGCCUGUAGCACAGUGUUGCCUGUAGCACAGUGUUGCCUGUAGCAGUGUUGCCUGUAUUGUGUCACUGUUGUCUGUUUCAACUUUCCAUCAAAGUAACAAUAACGCUCAUUAGUGUGGUGCAUGUGUGCCAAAUGGCACCCUAUUCCCUAUGUUGUGCACUACUUUUGGACUAGAUCUCUAAGGGUCCUGGUCAGAAGUAGUGGACGAUAGAGGGCAUAGGAUGCCAUUUGAGAUGUAGAACCUCUUGUGUCAUCACCGGUAGUGUCGUACAUGUCCACGCCUGUUAUUUAACCACUCUGAAAUAUCAUGAGUGAUACAGACAGAGGAGGCUGGUGAUGGGAGGACGGCUCGUAGUGAAACGGAAACUGCGUGUUGGAUGUGUUUGAAUCCCGAUCCAUUUCAUCCCGGUUCCAGACGUUACUAUGGGCCCAUCCUCUGAUUUAUAGUGACACCAGCCACCCCUGGAUACGUGAUCAACACAGAACCUUUGAAUAGCCAAUGAUAAGAUGAUAUAGUCAUUGAUAUAAUGUAAUCCAAUGAACAUGAUGCGGUCCUCUGCUGCUAGUUAAUUACACCCUCAUUUUUUGGCUGUACACGUUGUACGCCACAUCUUAUUGGCUGUACACGCUGUACGCCACAUCUUAUUGGCUGUACACAUUGGACCUUUGGCAGGAACAUGUUGUCAUGUUAAUUUGACUUCCUUCAAUAAAAGCUUUGCCACAGCCUCACGGUGUGUGUGUGUGUGUGUGUGUGUGUGUGUGUGUGUGUGUGUGUGUGUGUGUGUGUGUGUGUGUGUGUGUGUGUGUGUGUGUGUGUGUGUGUGUGAGAGGGAGAGC
Molecule: long non-coding RNA, 3534 nt
Organism: Oncorhynchus tshawytscha (Chinook salmon)
Lineage: Eukaryota; Metazoa; Chordata; Actinopteri; Salmoniformes; Salmonidae
Source: Ensembl